Triticum aestivum (bread wheat) is the source of this 106-nucleotide non-coding RNA. NCBI's taxonomy places the organism in Eukaryota, Viridiplantae, Streptophyta, Magnoliopsida, Poales, Poaceae. The record is from Rfam.
AAUAUACUCCCUUGGUUCGGAAAUACUUGUGAAUGUAUCUAGAACUAAAAUACAUCUAGAUACAUUCAUUUCAAUGACAAGUAUUUCCGGACGGAGGGAGUACUAG